UUGACCUCGGAUCAGGUAGGGAUACCCGCUGAACUUAAGCAUAUCAAUAAGCGGAGGAAAAGAAACCAACAGGGAUUGCCCUAGUAACGGCGAGUGAAGCGGCAACAGCUCAAAUUUGAAAUCUGGCGUCUCCGGCGUCCGAGUUGUAAUUUGUAGAGGAUGCUUCUGGGCAGCCACCGGUCUAAGUUCCUUGGAACAGGACGUCAUAGAGGGUGAGAAUCCCGUAUGCGACCGGACAGGCACCCUCCACGUAGCUCCUUCGACGAGUCGAGUUGUUUGGGAAUGCAGCUCUAAAUGGGAGGUAAAUUUCUUCUAAAGCUAAAUACCGGCCAGAGACCGAUAGCGCACAAGUAGAGUGAUCGAAAGAUGAAAAGCACUUUGGAAAGAGAGUUAAAAAGCACGUGAAAUUGUUGAAAGGGAAGCGCUUGCAACCAGACUUGCUCGCGGUGUUCCGCCGGUCUUCUGACCGGUCUACUCGCCGCGUUGCAGGCCAGCAUCGUCUGGGGCCGCCGGAUAAGACUUUGGGAAUGUAGCUCCUUCGGGAGUGUUAUAGCCCAUCGUGAUGCGGCGCGUCCCGGGCGAGGUCCGCGCUUCGGCUAGGAUGCUGGCGUAAUGGUUGUAAGCGGCCCGUCUUGAAACACGGACCAAGGAGUCUAACAUCUAUGCGAGUGUUCGGGUGUCAAACCCCUACGCGUAAUGAAAGUGAACGGAGGUGGGAACUUUUUGUGCACCAUCGACCGAUCCUGAUGUCUUCGGAUGGAUUUGAGUAAGAGCAUAGCUGUUGGGACCCGAAAGAUGGUGAACUAUGCCUGAAUAGGGUGAAGCCAGAGGAAACUCUGGUGGAGGCUCGCAGCGGUUCUGACGUGCAAAUCGAUCGUCAAAUUUGGGUAUAGGGGCGAAAGACUAAUCGAACCAUCUAGUAGCUGGUU
Molecule: ribosomal RNA, 929 nt
Filed under: Graphiopsis chlorocephala
Lineage: Eukaryota; Fungi; Ascomycota; Dothideomycetes; Cladosporiales; Cladosporiaceae
Description: eukaryotic LSU rRNA
Rfam family: Eukaryotic large subunit ribosomal RNA
Source: RNAcentral